CCAAUUGAGCUCCAUACCCUUCUCUCCGCUCCCCCGGCCUAAAACCCCACCGCAGAAAAUGCUCCUCCGCCCCCUCCUCCGCCAUGGCGGCGCCGCCGCCGCCGCGGCAGCCUCCGCCGGCAUCCGCGCCACCGCUCCCCACGACCCUCCCGCCGCGCUGGCCUCCCUCCUCCUUUCGUUCCGAUCCUACGCGAAGGCGAAGGCGAAGGGCGGGGGCAAGCCGGCGGCGUCCACGUCGAACCGUGGGAAGGUCCGCGCCAAGGACCCGCGCGGAGUGGCGUCAGCCGACGACGCUGCGGGGGGCGACUUCUCCGCCGGAGGCGGGGGCGGUGCCGGGGGCGACGACAUUGACGCCGAGUUCGAGAUGCCCACCGACCCGCUGCCCCCGACCUACGAUCCCGCGCUCGAUGUCGGCCCCGGCGGACGCCGGCUCUUCGCCUUCACUGACACCUUCGGGUCCUUCGCCCACCGCGACGCCAACGUCUACGUCGACUUCACUUUGGAUGAAUGGAAUGCCAUGUUACCAGAGGGGUUGCCAGCAGGGAUGAUGAAGGAGUUUCAGGAGACGAGACGGUGUGCUGUGAUGGUGAGGAAGAGCUUCCUAGAUCUCCGGGAUAAUUUCCGUAGGAUUGUUGAUCCAGCCAUUACAACCAAGCUCAAAGAUAUCAAAAAACAAAUUGUCUUGGAUGGCCCACGGAGUUGCGGUAAAAGCAUUGCACUUGCUAUGCUUGUCCACUGGGCACGUACUGAAGGAUGGCUGGUAUUCUAUGUUCCGCAAGGGAAGGAUUGGACUCAUGGAGGAUUCUUCUAUAGAAACACAUACAGUGAAUUUUUCGAUACACCAGUACAAGCUGCAAAGAUCUUGCAGGAUUUUUUGAAGUACAAUGAAACACGCUUACAACAAUUACCAUGUCAAAUUCUUGAGCCCAUUCCCCUGGGAGAAGGUGCUGGUGUUGGAAUGAUGAAAGGGGCUGACACAACGGAAAUGCCUGAAGGGUCCACAUUGUAUGAUCUCAUUCAAACUGGGAUAACCCACACACAGGCUUCAGUUGGUGUUGUAGUUCGCUUAAGGAAGGAGUUGUCACUUGUUAAAGACGUGCCUGUAUUAUUUGCUAUUGAUCAGUACAAUAGUUGGUUUACAUUCAGUGACUUCCAGGAACCUGUAACUGUUAGGUCUUGUCGACCAAUUCAUGCGAAAGAGCUUACAACGGUUAGUGCUUAUAGGUCAAUGUUGCAUAAUGAUAUGAUGGUAGGAGCCUUUUCACACUCAACCGCAGUUGGGAAACUACGGCAGGAGCUGCCAGAUGUUCCUUCUGAUGCUCGUUUGAUGUUUCCACGUUACACCUUAGAUGAAGCUGAGACUGUGUGUCACUAUUAUAUGAGGCAAAAGAUCAUUCGGCGUGAGAGUUUUUCAGAAGAGAAGUGGAAAAAGAUCUAUUAUUUAUCAAAUGGAAACGGCUCAGAGAUGAGGUGGCUUGCUGCCUUUGUUUGAGGUAGUAAACUCCUGAAAUUGUUCAAUAGCUGCAAUAUCACAUUCUUAAGGAAAAAUUUCUCAUACCCUGAUAUGUUAGCUGUCUAGAAAGAUCGCCACUUCUGUUUCAGCAUGCUGUUCGAUAGAACAAUUCUCCAUUGUUGUAUACUUGUAAUCUGUCUUAUGGAAUUCCUAGGAGAAAAAUGGCUACCUAAGCACAUUUCCAAGAUUUUAUUUCCCCAGCAGUUCAAGAGGGAACAUGUUUGGCUACAAGCCUGCUGCUUCAAAUGUCACCUAUAUGUUUCAGACAACAUUCUCCAUGUGUGCUGAGUAGAAUUUGAAGAGCCAAAACAUUAGUUCGUGGUGCUCAUUUAUAUCAUGAGGUGUCAUGAAGUCCUGCUUAGUGAUGCUAUAUAUGAAAUAAUAACCAACUGAUGUAUAACAUUGGUCUUGGAGAAGUUUUAACAUGUUUUGGUUCCCAUAA
This is an RNA transcript of Phragmites australis (common reed), 1955 nucleotides long. RefSeq lists it as uncharacterized. Lineage: Eukaryota; Viridiplantae; Streptophyta; Magnoliopsida; Poales; Poaceae. The record is from RefSeq and is a predicted model, not a curated record. The transcript is spliced from 8 exons.